GCCCCUCCUCUUUCACUCGGAUCGUUUGGCACGUACCUGCCAAUGAAAGUAAAGGAAACA
Non-coding RNA from Corynebacterium glucuronolyticum ATCC 51866, 60 nucleotides. NCBI's taxonomy places the organism in Bacteria, Bacillati, Actinomycetota, Actinomycetes, Mycobacteriales, Corynebacteriaceae. The record is from Rfam.